UGCUUCGCCGUGUCUUAAAGGAGU
RNAcentral lists this non-coding RNA (24 nucleotides) under Mus musculus (house mouse). Lineage: Eukaryota; Metazoa; Chordata; Mammalia; Rodentia; Muridae. The record is from RNAcentral.